This is a non-coding RNA of Paramuricea clavata, 1232 nucleotides long. NCBI's taxonomy places the organism in Eukaryota, Metazoa, Cnidaria, Anthozoa, Malacalcyonacea, Plexauridae. The record is from the annotation of a GenBank genome assembly.
UCGAAUUUCAAUGACACAAUGUAUUUCUUCAUCAUUUAAAACUAUAACGUGACUAAAUUAAAGAUUUGUGUUUUCAACUAGGAUUACAAAAUCAACUAUCAAUUCUGAAAUAAUUACAGCUAUUUUAUUUUUUGUGUGUUCUAGAAGAUUCUGAAAAUCCGCUACAUGUUAUUCAUUUAUAUGCUUAAUACUCAGCUUUGCCUCGUAUCUUUAUAUCUGAUAAAACACUGCUCACAAUUCUUAUACACUAACAUAUUAGGAAAUUUCAUUAUUUCACAAGCAUGAGUCAGCAUCGUACUGAAAAAUAUUAGCAAUCAGUAUUGAAAGAAAUCUAAAUAUGUGUUUUAUGUUCAAUUUAUAGACAUACAUAAUGAAAAGCUGCCAAAUGAAAUGCCUUCAAAUUGAUAUAGCACUUGUAAGUACAUGCUAUUGUAUGUCUCGCACUUAAUACAUGCAAUCAAAAUUCGUCUUCAAGCAGUAUAUGCUUUGACUCAUUUGAUACAAUGCCCAUGAUGCCUUAAUUUCUACUAUUAUUCUGUCUUUAUUUACAGUCCAUCCAUAUAGUCACUAGAGAUCUGUAGAUUUGAUUACAUUUACGAGUACAACAUUCAUCAUUUGCGUGUUAGUUGCGUCAUAUUUUUCUAUCGUAACUGCCUCCUAGUGAUUCAAAAUAUGACGUGACUGCAUGCCUGCAUGCAAAUUGUGCAUUUUGUACUUGUAAUUAACUUACUCUAUAAUGUAGUCAAAAAGGAAACUUAUUUCGAUAAUCAAUUAUGUGUGUAUUUUUUUUUAAUCAUUUCUUUCUUUGACAAGAUCAUUUAAGGAAAAACGAUUGACCUUUUCAAUAAAAACGACGCCAUCUUAAGUCGCAACGGUUUUCUCAUCAGUUUUGUCUCGAUAAAUAAAAUUGCAGUCGUAAACGAAUUAGCGUUUAUAGCGAAUAUUUGGAAUAUUUGUGGUUUUUGACACAAGACAUACUUAUUUUCAACAAUUUUAAAACUUACAUUCAAGGCAGGUUUACGCAAUAUAUACACUAAGUACAAGGCAGCAUUACAUUGCAGUCAUAUGAGCCGGUGAUACGAGCCCGCAUACCUAUAGACGUCUUGGAUGUAGUGGAGAUCUUCAUCCUGCGCCUGCCGGAUUAAAUUCGAAUGUAUUUAACAGUACUUACUAUAAUUAGCACUUGCAAACACAUAUAUGCUUCAUUCAGGUUUUUUGCAAUUUCUUUUUUU